GCCGCCGUAGCUCAGUUGGUAGAGCAACGCAUUCGUAAUGCGUGGGUCGGGAGUUCAAAUCUUCUCGGCGGCU
Molecule: transfer RNA, 73 nt
Filed under: Rubinisphaera sp.
Lineage: Bacteria; Pseudomonadati; Planctomycetota; Planctomycetia; Planctomycetales; Planctomycetaceae
Also listed under: 1 other name
Description: tRNA-Thr
Rfam family: tRNA
About the family: Transfer RNA (tRNA) molecules are approximately 80 nucleotides in length.
Source: RNAcentral